Molecule: ribosomal RNA, 461 nt
Filed under: uncultured bacterium
Lineage: Bacteria
Description: partial 16S ribosomal RNA
Rfam family: Bacterial small subunit ribosomal RNA
Source: RNAcentral
CCUACGGGAGGCUGCAGUGAGGAAUAUUGGUCAAUGGGCUUACGCCUGAACCAGCCAAGUCGCGUGAGGGAAGACUGCCCUAUGGGUUGUAAACCUCUUUUGUCAGGGAGCAAUUGGCGCUACGUGUAGCGUUAUCGAGAGUACCUGAAGAAAAAGCAUCGGCUAACUCCGUGCCAGCAGCCGCGGUAAUACGGAGGAUCCGAGCGUUAUCCGGAUUUAUUGGGUUUAAAGGGAGCGUAGGUGGAUUGUUAAGUCAGUUGUGAAAGUUUGCGGCUCAACCGUAAAAUUGCAGUUGAAACUGGCAGUCUUGAGUACAGUAGAGGUGGGCGGAAUUCGUGGUGUAGCGGUGAAAUGCUUAGAUAUCACGAAGAACUCCGAUUGCGAAGGCAGUUCACUGGACUGCAACUGACACUGAGGCUCGAAAGUGUGGGUAUCAAACAGGAUUAGAUACCCCUGUAGUC